RNAcentral lists this ribosomal RNA (465 nucleotides) under uncultured bacterium. RNAcentral's name for it is "partial 16S ribosomal RNA". It matches the Rfam family "Bacterial small subunit ribosomal RNA", at positions 28 to 507 of the family's 1533-position model. The record is from RNAcentral.
GACGAACGCUGGCGGCGUGCUUAACACAUGCAAGUCGAACGGAAAGGCCCUGCUUGCCGGGUACUCGAGUGGCGAACGGGUGAGUAACACGUGGGUGAUCUGCCCUGCACUUCGGGAUAAGCCUGGGAAACUGGGUCUAAUACCGGAUAGGAGCCAUUUUUAGUGUGAUGGUUGGAAAGUUUUUUCGGUGUAGGAUGAGCUCGCUGCCUAUCAGCUUGUUGGUGGGGUAAUGGCCUACCAAGGCGGCGACGGGUAGCCGGCCUGAGAGGGUGGACGGCCACAGUGGGACUGAGAUACGGCCCAGACGCCGACGGGAGGCAGCAGUGGGGAAGAUUGCACAAUGGGCGCAAGCCGGAUGCAGAGAAGCCGCGGGGGGGAUGACGGACUUAGGGUUGUAAAAGACAUUCGCUAGGGACGAAGCUUUUUGUGACGGUACCUAGAUAAGAAGCACCGGCUAACUACGUG